UAAUGAAAUAAAAUACUAAUAAAGUAACAAAGAUAAUUUAAUUACUCUCGUGAUUUGUGAGGCUGACUCAAUAUCUUCAUGAUUUAUUAAAAAAAAUUACUUUAAUACAUAUUGCUAAAAGCCCAUUACAUAUUUUGCAGGUAUAACCACACAUCUCUACUCAAUUUAGGGUUUACACACAAAAGAUCAACUGCGCCGCCCACAUCUCCAGCCGUAAAUCUCCUCUUUUCCUAGACGAUAGAAAUCACCUCUAAUUCCCCUAUUCCCUCGUCUGCAUCUCAAUUCCAGCCCCUUCUCUGUCACGACCGCACUUGCUAAGGAUANCAAACCUAUCUCUGUCGAAAUUAGCAAUAAACUGUACUUCACCCCCCAUAUACAACCUUUUCUUUCCUAAGUGUUGGAAUGAACCACCAUGAUGGAGAUAAAUCCCGAAAAUAUCACUAAAAUCACAUAAAUAGAAAGGAAAAAAAAAUAAUCAGACACCAACUAUACAAUAAAAAAAAACUAAUCAUCAACAAAUACGCAAGUAAUCAUCACACAACUAAUCAUCAACAACAAAAUGCAAUUUUCGAC
RNAcentral lists this long non-coding RNA (573 nucleotides) under Salvia miltiorrhiza (redroot sage). RNAcentral describes it as "long non-coding RNA (SMIL_LNC011521)". The record is from RNAcentral. Lineage: Eukaryota; Viridiplantae; Streptophyta; Magnoliopsida; Lamiales; Lamiaceae.